CUCGCCGUCGUCUAAUGGAUCAGACGCAUGCCUCCUAAGCGUGAAAUACAGGUUCGAUUCCUGUCGGCGGGACCA
RNAcentral lists this transfer RNA (75 nucleotides) under Rhodoferax sp. RNAcentral describes it as "tRNA-Arg". It matches the Rfam family "tRNA". Rfam says of the family: Transfer RNA (tRNA) molecules are approximately 80 nucleotides in length. Lineage: Bacteria; Pseudomonadati; Pseudomonadota; Betaproteobacteria; Burkholderiales; Comamonadaceae. The record is from RNAcentral.